Molecule: transfer RNA, 88 nt
Filed under: Lactobacillales bacterium
Lineage: Bacteria; Bacillati; Bacillota; Bacilli; Lactobacillales
Description: tRNA-Ser
Rfam family: tRNA
About the family: Transfer RNA (tRNA) molecules are approximately 80 nucleotides in length. Their secondary structure includes four short double-helical elements and three loops (D, anti-codon, and T loops).
Source: RNAcentral
GGAGAGGUGGCAGAGUGGUAAUGCACCGGACUCGAAAUCCGGCGAGCGAUUUUAUAGUUGUGCGCGGGUUCAAAUCCCGUCUUCUCCU